UCAUGCCUACGGGGGGCAGCAGUGAGGAAUAUUGGUCAAUGGGCGGGAGCCUGAACCAGCCAAGUCGCGUGAGGGAAGACGGUCCUAUGGAUUGUAAACCUCUUUAGGCGGGGAGCAAUGCCGGGCACGUGUGCCCGGAGGGAGAGUACCCGCAGAAUAAGCACCGGCUAACUCCGUGCCAGCAGCCGCGGUAAUACGGAGGGUGCGAGCGUUAAUCGGAAUCACUGGGCGUAAAGCGCGCGUAGGCGGCUUUUCAAGUCAGGGGUGAAAUCCCACGGCCCAACCGUGGAACUGCCUUUGAAACU
Molecule: ribosomal RNA, 305 nt
Filed under: uncultured bacterium
Lineage: Bacteria
Description: bacterial SSU rRNA
Rfam family: Bacterial small subunit ribosomal RNA
Source: RNAcentral